UACGUAGGUGGCGAGCGUUAUCCGGAAUGAUUGGGCGUAAAGGGUGCGUAGGUGGCAGAUCAAGUCUGGAGUAAAAGGUAUGGGCUCAACCCGUAUUGGCUCUGGAAACUGAUCAGCUAGAGAACAGAAGAGGACGGCGGAACUCCAUGUGUAGCGGUAAAAUGCGUAGAUAUAUGGAAGAACACCGGUGGCGAAGGCGGCCGUCUGGUCUGGAUUCUGACACUGAAGCACGAAAGCGUGGGGAGCAAAUAGG
RNAcentral lists this ribosomal RNA (253 nucleotides) under Holdemanella biformis DSM 3989. RNAcentral describes it as "partial 16S ribosomal RNA". It matches the Rfam family "Bacterial small subunit ribosomal RNA", at positions 524 to 776 of the family's 1533-position model. The record is from RNAcentral. Lineage: Bacteria; Bacillati; Bacillota; Erysipelotrichia; Erysipelotrichales; Erysipelotrichaceae.